Molecule: RNA transcript, 899 nt
Organism: Manis pentadactyla (Chinese pangolin)
Lineage: Eukaryota; Metazoa; Chordata; Mammalia; Pholidota; Manidae
Gene: SSBP1
Gene name: single stranded DNA binding protein 1
Exons: 9
Source: RefSeq, a predicted model, not a curated record
UUUCCGAUUUCUUCUUCUCUCGCGACCCUUACGUUCCUGCUGUACCCGGAAGUAGUUCUGUGAUGCGAGGCUGUUCAGACUAGAGCGUCAGGAAAAGACUAAAGAUUAGAUUAUAGGAAAAAAAUAAGCCAUGUUUCGAAGGCCUGUGUUACAGGUACUUCAACAGUUUGUAAGACAUGAGUCUGAAAUAGCUAACAGCUUGAUUCUUGAAAGAUCUCUGAAUCGUGUCCAGUUACUUGGGCGAGUGGGUCAGGACCCUGUCAUGAGACAGGUGGAAGGAAAAAACCCAGUCACGAUAUUUUCUCUAGCAACAAAUGAGAUGUGGCGAUCAGGGGAAAAUGAAACAUAUCAAAUGGGCGAUAUCAGUCAAAAGACAACAUGGCACAGAAUUUCAGUAUUCCGACCAGGCCUCAGAGAUGUGGCUUAUCAGUAUGUGAAAAAGGGGUCUCGAAUCUAUGUGGAAGGGAAAGUAGACUACGGCGAAUACACGGAUAAAAAUAAUGUGAGGCGACAAGCAACAACAAUCAUAGCUGAUAACAUUAUAUUUCUGACCGACCAGACAAAAGAGAAGGCAUAGAGUGGAUGAUUCUUUGGCCAUUGUUUUAUGUGGUAAGAUGAAGGAUGCGGAGACAACUGCCUUUGAAAGAAGAGUGUAUUACUUGCAGUUCUCAAGAGGAGGGCGCACGCCACGCCAUGCAGGACCACACCAAGCCCUGCGGGAGCACGUGGGGAAGCACAGGGCUGAAUCUCCAGUAGCCAUCUCGGACCAUGAGAUGAUCUUCAGGAUGGAAGAGAGGAGAAUCUGGGAUCUGUGAUGACCAUGGAACUGUCACACCGGUUCUGGACAGUCUACCUCUGGACUUCUUUGGGAGACACAAAUAAAUCUCUACUUUGUUUAA